Molecule: long non-coding RNA, 765 nt
Organism: Mesocricetus auratus (golden hamster)
Lineage: Eukaryota; Metazoa; Chordata; Mammalia; Rodentia; Cricetidae
Exons: 2
Source: RefSeq, a predicted model, not a curated record
CAUGGUAUGAAUUAAAACUCAGAAAGUUUAAGUUAUGGGGAUAUAUUGCUUAUGGCCUGAUAAAGCUUGCCUGGAGAGAAGAAUACAAAGCUACUCACAGCCAUAGAGGUCAGGAAAUGGUGGUACACACCUUUAACCCUGGCAACCAUGCUAGUUAGCCAUAGAUGCUGGGCGGUGGUGGUGCAUGCCUUUCAUCCCAGCACUAGAGAGGUAUAUGAGACAGGAGCAGGGUUCAGAGCGUGUAGUAGUCUCCAGCAACAUUGAGGACAGUAUCACUCUUCCAGCCUUGGUAGAGAUGUCUCAUUUGUCCAGUGGUCUUCAGAUUCCUUAGCUGGAUGCCUUCAUUCUCCUGAAAAGACAAAAACAAAACCAUACCCCAACCCUAAUUUUGGGACGGUUCCCUUAUGGCAAGUAAUGUCUGAAAAAACGAAAAACAUUUAUUAGAUUUAAAGUUAGUUUAGAUUAAAUGACCAUGCUAUUUGAUUAAUUAUUACGUCUUCUCAUCAAGGGAUGCCUUUUGUUCAAACAUAAUCUUUAUGUAUUUUAAUGGUAUCUGUCAUCUUCCAAACCCCCUUUUUCUCAAACCCCCUUUCCCAACAAAGCACACAUCCUGGUUCCCAUCCUGAGGACAGCACAUCUUUAAAAUAUACCAGCUGAUUUAAUUCCAUAGGUUUUUUCCUGUUAUCUAAUUUCUCUCCACUGCUGUCAAUUCUUUCUCAUUUACAUUCAGAAAAUUCAAAGUUAAUAAAGCAUUUUGCAAUCUAA